AUGAACGCUGGCGGCGUGCCUAAUACCUGCAAGUCGAGCGAACAGACGAGGAGCUUGCUCCUCUGACGUUAGCGGCGGACGGGUGAGUAACACGUGGAUAACCUACCUAUAAGACUGGGAUAACUUCGGGAAACCGGAGCUAAUACCGGAUAAUAUAUUGAACCGCAUGGUUCAAUAGUGAAAGACGGUUUUGCUGUCACUUAUAGAUGGAUCCGCGCCGCAUUAGCUAGUUGGUAAGGUAACGGCUUACCAAGGCAACGAUGCGUAGCCGACCUGAGAGGGUGAUCGGCCACACUGGAACUGAGACACGGUCCAGACUCCUACGGGAGGCAGCAGUAGGGAAUCUUCCGCAAAGGGCGAAAGCUUGACGGAGCAACGCCGCGUGAGUGAUGAAGGUCUUCGGAUCGUAAAACUCUGUUAUUAGGGAAGAACAAAUGUGUAAGUAACUAUGCACGUCCUGACGGUACCUAAUCAGAAAGCCACGGCUAACUACGUG
Molecule: ribosomal RNA, 496 nt
Filed under: uncultured bacterium
Lineage: Bacteria
Description: partial 16S ribosomal RNA
Rfam family: Bacterial small subunit ribosomal RNA
Source: RNAcentral